GCUUCUCUCAUUAGACUGAGAAAUUGUCACAGUAGUUUGUCUUGCUGAAUUUGCAUUUGAGAAUGAUAUAGUUUUAGCCUUGUUUCUCUUAGCUUUGAACCAAGGUAACAGCUCAGAGAAUUCUGCUGAUCAUACUAUAGGAUUAUUUUCUGAAUGGACUAACAAGCAGAGAAAUGAUGCAGAUUUGAUUUCUUCGAACCUCAGUGUCUUCUCUUCCAUCUAGUACAGGAAGUCAUUUCAGGAUCCG
Molecule: long non-coding RNA, 247 nt
Filed under: Phoenix dactylifera (date palm)
Lineage: Eukaryota; Viridiplantae; Streptophyta; Magnoliopsida; Arecales; Arecaceae
Description: long non-coding RNA (PDAC_LNC021089)
Source: RNAcentral